GAUGAACGCUGGCGGCGUGCCUAAUACAUGCAAGUCGAGCGAACAGAUAAGGAGCUUGCUCCUUUGACGUCAGCGGCGGACGGGUGAGUAACACGUGGGUAACCUACCUAUAAGACUGGAAUAACUCCGGGAAACCGGGGCUAAUGCCGGAUAACAUUUAGAACCGCAUGGUUCUAAAGUGAAAGAUGGUUUUGCUAUCACUUAUAGAUGGACCCGCGCCGUAUUAGCUAGUUGGUAAGGUAACGGCUUACCAAGGCAACGAUACGUAGCCGACCUGAGAGGGUGAUCGGCCACACUGGAACUGAGACACGGUCCAGACUCCUACGGGAGGCAGCAGUAGGGAAUCUUCCGCAAUGGGCGAAAGCCUGACGGAGCAACGCCGCGUGAGUGAUGAAGGUCUUCGGAUCGUAAAACUCUGUUAUUAGGGAAGAACAAAUGUGUAAGUAACUGUGCACGUCUUGACGGUACCUAAUCAGAAAGCCACGGCUAACUACGUG
RNAcentral lists this ribosomal RNA (497 nucleotides) under uncultured bacterium. Its description in RNAcentral is "partial 16S ribosomal RNA". It matches the Rfam family "Bacterial small subunit ribosomal RNA", at positions 28 to 507 of the family's 1533-position model. The record is from RNAcentral.